GACGAACGCUGGCGGCGUGCUUAACACAUGCAAGUCGAACGAUGAAAGCGGGGCUUGCUCCUCUGGAUUAGUGGCGAACGGGUGAGUAACACGUGAGCACUCUGUCCCUGACUCCGGGAUAACUACGUGAAACUGUAGCUCAUACCGGAUAUGCUCCAACGCGUCUUCUUUAUCCGUCGGUAAGAAAUUCAGUUAGGGAUGUGAUGGCGGCCUAUCAGCUUGUUGGGGAGGUAACGGAUGACCAAGACGACGACGGGUAGCAGGCCUGAGAGGGUGACCGGACACAUUGGGACUGAGACACGGCCCAGACUACUACGGGAGGCAGCGGUGGGGAAGAGUGCACAAUAGGCGCAAGCCUGAUGUAGCAAAGCCGCGUGAGGGAAGACGGCCUUCGGGUUGUAAACCACUUUUAGCAGGGAAGAAGCGAAAGUGACGGUACCUGCAGAAAAAGCGCCGGCUAACUACGUG
RNAcentral lists this ribosomal RNA (468 nucleotides) under uncultured bacterium. Its description in RNAcentral is "partial 16S ribosomal RNA". It matches the Rfam family "Bacterial small subunit ribosomal RNA", at positions 28 to 507 of the family's 1533-position model. The record is from RNAcentral.